RNAcentral lists this ribosomal RNA (336 nucleotides) under Pseudogymnoascus destructans. Its description in RNAcentral is "eukaryotic LSU rRNA". The stretch from base 1 to 126 matches the Rfam family "5.8S ribosomal RNA", at positions 29 to 154 of the family's 154-position model. The record is from RNAcentral. Lineage: Eukaryota; Fungi; Ascomycota; Leotiomycetes; Thelebolales; Thelebolaceae.
UGCAUCGAUGAAGAACGCAGCGAAAUGCGAUAAGUAAUGUGAAUUGCAGAAUUCAGUGAAUCAUCGAAUCUUUGAACGCACAUUGCGCCCCCUGGUAUUCCGGGGGGCAUGCCUGUCCGAGCGUCAUUACAACCCUCAAGCUCAGCUUGGUAUUGGGCCCCGCCGACCCGGCGGGCCCUAAAGUCAGUGGCGGUGCCGUCCGGCUCCGAGCGUAGUAAUUCUUCUCGCUCCGGAGGUCCGGUCGUGUGCUUGCCAGCAACCCCCAAUUUUUUCAGGUUGACCUCGGAUCAGGUAGGGAUACCCGCUGAACUUAAGCAUAUCAAUAAAGCGGAGGAA